AUAUAUUUUUUAAAAAAAAUUUAAUAAAUUCAAAAACGCAAAAGGGAAAAAAAGAAAAAAAAUAAAAUAAUAAAAAUAAAUUCAGAAUAAUUAGGAAAACAUAUUUUUUCUAACGUCUCUUACAAAAAAAUGAAAUGUUUCAUUCCUUUUCUUGUUUUAUAAAAUUAUUUAUAAUUUAUAAUAUAAAUUUUUUUUUGUUACUAUUUUAUUAAAGAAGUUUUAUGAACAAAUUCUUUUCUUAUUAUUAAAUAUAUGAAAAUUUUACAACCAGUUUUAUUUUUAUUUAUUUAUUUUUUUUACCUUUUAUAGGAUAAUAUUUUGUAAUAAA
Non-coding RNA from Plasmodium blacklocki (nom. inval.), 328 nucleotides. NCBI's taxonomy places the organism in Eukaryota, Apicomplexa, Aconoidasida, Haemosporida, Plasmodiidae. The record is from the annotation of a GenBank genome assembly.